UCUGCAGCUUGGCAAAAAAGCCAGACGUUACCUCAUAGCUGCGGCCAGACAGCCCAUUUCUAUGCCAAGCAACCGCUGCAGAAGCACACAGCACAGGGCCCUGCUUGAUUAGCACUUCUGCUGUUUCAAGAGUCCUGGAGUGUUUUGUUCAAGGUGAAAAAGAAAAAACAAAGGAUAUGAACAGGUACCAAAGAACUACAGUUCUGUUAGUCACCCCCACUGUUGACGCAAAUUGAUAGAAGACUCGGACUAUUAAAUAAAUAUUCAGCCUCUGUGUAAAAUGUCACCUGAUGAACGAACAGUCUCUGUUCUGAAGUUGUUGCAUCAAAGGCUCAGGACAAGACCUGGGAAGAGGAGAGAGCUGUAAGCAAAGUCACGUAGCAGAAACAACUGGACUGGAAGAGCACCCAGAGCAAGCUGGAAAGAAGAAAUCUUUGAUCUCCUCCUUUGUUAUUAUUGUGUCCCAAAAGAGAGAGAAAUACUUCCUGUUAAGUUACUCUGUUAAAAAACAUGGGCAGCAGGAGAUCUGAUGGUUUGAUCUUCUUAGAGUUUUUUAUUCCUUAAGUUUGACAUCUCAGUGCUAGAAUUCUACUCCUGAGUUUUGUUUUUACAUCUCUUCACCAUGUUUUUGGGGGGGAGUUGGUUGUUUGUGUUGGGUUUUGGUUUUGGUUUUUAAAAAGUUGAAAAUAAAGUGUGACCAAAACAAGCCUGUGUUUGUGAGAUGCUGUAUC
Molecule: long non-coding RNA, 731 nt
Organism: Gopherus evgoodei (Goodes thornscrub tortoise)
Lineage: Eukaryota; Metazoa; Chordata; Testudines; Testudinidae
Exons: 3
Source: RefSeq, a predicted model, not a curated record